Non-coding RNA from Callorhinus ursinus (northern fur seal), 114 nucleotides. The record is from RefSeq and is a predicted model, not a curated record. NCBI's taxonomy places the organism in Eukaryota, Metazoa, Chordata, Mammalia, Carnivora, Otariidae.
UGAGAAAAAACUGGAUACUACCAUUUAUAAGACUACUGAGUGAAUUUUACUGUUUUUUUAAAAGCAGUUAUUUUUGUCCUUAUGCUAUAUCUCACUAAGUCUAUAUGCUUUUUA